AACCAAACUACACAUCAGGUGUGUUCGCAACAGAUUUAGCAUUGUUGGACUCACAAUGGGAAGUUACAGUAUGUAGUUUAUUCCACCCAUUCUUCAUCCUAGUCAAAACCUGGUAAUGUAGCCUCAAACUGUUAGCCUGAAGCAGAGAUGAGGAACAGGCUACAGAGGUCUGGUGGUGUCAUUGAAGGGGUACUUGAGUUCAUCUGAUGGGGAUGUAGAUUAGACAAAAAGAAAGUUGGGAACUACUGACGACCAACAAGUGCUGGAGCAGGAACUUGUCCAUCUCAGACAGGACAGCACUAACAUUCAGCUGCCUCAGGACAAAAGGUUGCACAUCGUAACUUGAACCUGGCGAGAUUCGUGACCAUGAAUUCUGGAGCUCAACAGAGAUCUAACCAGGAGUUUCCUGGCUGAGAAUCAGGCAGAGCAGCAGGCCAGAUUGAGGAGCUGUGUGUCCUCCUCCUGUCUGCCUGUGGGACAAUCAGCCACUCCCUGCGACCACAGAGACCGAAGGCACAGGGCAAGAAUGUCUUUCAGUGAGCAAGUGAUGGAUGCCAAGAUGCACACAUACACACAAGCCAAAAGAACACACACAUGCUGAUGCACAUUAUUUAUCCAUACCAUUUUAUAAUGAAUAUUUUUCAUAUUCAUGUGCUUUCUUUAUUUGGAAAGCUUCAUUUUUCCAGAUGAAGGUUACAGAGAAUGCAUACUCUUAAGGCCUUAAGGUCACACCAGGAUUUAAAACAGCAAAAUGCCUAUGCACCAAUGCAUGUUUUCAAAAUUUCAAAGUUCAAAAGUUCACCAAAGUUGAACUCUGGUGAAUCUGCACCGUUGACCAAUGACAAGCCGUCUCGACAGUGCUGACCUGGGAAAGGAGAGCUGCAGAGUCAAAAAAUGGAUAACGCUAAUGCAGCUUAUUAGCUGUGUGG
Long non-coding RNA from Siniperca chuatsi (mandarin fish), 929 nucleotides. RefSeq lists it as uncharacterized. The record is from RefSeq and is a predicted model, not a curated record. The transcript has 3 exons. NCBI's taxonomy places the organism in Eukaryota, Metazoa, Chordata, Actinopteri, Centrarchiformes, Sinipercidae.